CGCGGGGUGGAGCAGCCCGGUCAGCUCGCUUGGCUCAUAACCAAGAGGUCGCAAGUUCAAAUCUUGCCCCCGCAACCA
Molecule: transfer RNA, 78 nt
Filed under: Saccharimonas sp. (SeqCode)
Lineage: Bacteria; Candidatus Saccharimonadota; Candidatus Saccharimonadia; Saccharimonadales (SeqCode); Saccharimonadaceae (SeqCode)
Also listed under: 2 other names
Description: tRNA-Met
Rfam family: tRNA
About the family: Transfer RNA (tRNA) molecules are approximately 80 nucleotides in length. Their secondary structure includes four short double-helical elements and three loops (D, anti-codon, and T loops).
Source: RNAcentral